Molecule: ribosomal RNA, 1344 nt
Filed under: uncultured bacterium
Lineage: Bacteria
Description: bacterial SSU rRNA
Rfam family: Bacterial small subunit ribosomal RNA
Source: RNAcentral
GAUGAACGCUGGCGGCGUGCUUAACACAUGCAAGUCGAACGAUGAAGCUCAGCUUGCUGGGUGGAUUAGUGGCGAACGGGUGAGUAACACGUGAGUAACCUGCCCUUAACUCUGGGAUAAGCCUGGGAAACUAGGUCUAAUACCGGAUAGGAGCGCCUACCGCAUGGUGGGUGUUGGAAAGAUUUAUCGGUUUUGGAUGGACUCGCGGCCUAUCAGCUUGUUGGUGAGGUAAUGGCUCACCAAGGCGACGACGGGUAGCCGGCCUGAGAGGGUGACCGGCCACACUGGGACUGAGACACGGCCCAGACUCCUACGGGAGGCAGCAGUGGGGAAUAUUACACAAUGGGCGAAAGCCUGAUGCAGCGACGCCGCGUGAGGGAUGACGGCCUUCGGGUUGUAAACCUCUUUCAGUAGGGAAGAAGCGAAAGUGACGGUACCUGCAGAAGAAGCACCGGCUAACUACGUGCCAGCAGCCGCGGUAAUACGUAGGGUGCGAGCGUUAUCCGGAAUUAUUGGGCGUAAAGAGCUCGUAGGCGGUUUGUCGCGUCUGUCGUGAAAGUCCGGGGCUUAACCCCCGGAUCUGCGGUGGGUACGGGCAGACUAGAGUGCAGUAGGGGAGACUGGAAUUCCUGGUGUAGCGGUGGAAUGCGCAGAUAUCAGGAGGAACACCGAUGGCGAAGGCAGGUCUCUGGGCUGUAACUGACGCUGAGGAGCGAAAGCAUGGGGAGCGAACAGGAUUAGAUACCCUGGUAGUCCAUGCCGUAAACGUUGGGCACUAGGUGUGGGGACCAUUCCACGGUUUCCGCGCCGCAGCUAACGCAUUAAGUGCCCCGCCUGGGGAGUACGGCCGCAAGGCUAAAACUCAAAGGAAUUGACGGGGGCCCGCACAAGCGGCGGAGCAUGCGGAUUAAUUCGAUGCAACGCGAAGAACCUUACCAAGGCUUGACAUGUUCUCGAUCGCCGUAGAGAUACGGUUUCCCCUUUGGGGCGGGUUCACAGGUGGUGCAUGGUUGUCGUCAGCUCGUGUCGUGAGAUGUUGGGUUAAGUCCCGCAACGAGCGCAACCCUCGUUCCAUGUUGCCAGCACGUAAUGGUGGGGACUCAUGGGAGACUGCCGGGGUCAACUCGGAGGAAGGUGAGGACGACGUCAAAUCAUCAUGCCCCUUAUGUCUUAGGCUUCACGCAUGCUACAAUGGCCGGUACAAUGGGUUGCGAUACUGUGAGGUGGAGCUAAUCCCAAAAAGCCGGUCUCAGUUCGGAUUGGGGUCUGCAACUCGACCCCAUGAAGUCGGAGUCGCUAGUAAUCGCAGAUCAGCAACGCUGCGGUGAAUAUGUUCCCGGGCCU